UCACUUAGAAAUGGUGAAUUUUAAAAGGAGGAGUAUAUUAAAGAAAUUAUUUAUGCCCCAAAACAACCAACAUUCUCACUGCUUCUUGAGAAAACUUGUCUGAAUAUUUGUUGCACGAUCGUGCACCAUUUCUGUUCAAGUGAGUUGAUAUUUCUGCUGAGUUCUAAAUAAUUCAUUAUUCAGCUAAGCAAAGGUAAAGUGACAAGGAAAAAACCAGUAAGGUCUAUUUCUAUGCCCGUUUGCAAAUGGAACACAGUGCUCAAAUGGCAUAUUUUCGGAAAAGCAGCGAUUUCAGUUCGGUAUUCCGAACACUCAUCUCGCUUUCCCUUGCACCACCUCUCAGUAGUUGUUAUCUUUCAGCUGCCAUCCAUUUGCUAUUGACAGAGUUCCAAACAAUAUUCAAUAGGUCAUGCAGUGUAAGAGGAAAGAAACCCACACUCCUACACACUCACGCAAAGCACACUAUAUUUUCCUCAACUACUUUUUCUUUCUGCCUGUUUCCCUACCAGGAGUCUUUUAUUCCCCCCCUAUGUCUUUCUGUCCACAUUUUCAGAGCUUUUUCAAUUAUUGUCACUGUUGCUGACCAUCCAUAAGUAUCACGAAGAGUUCUCAUGCCUAGCUUUCCACUCCUCUUAUACUGUUACCCUCCUUGACAUUACAUAUGUGGUAUCCAAGAGAAGAAAAGCAGCCAGGCCAUGAAAUGCAAAGCCACUCGGGGGCAACAUUAUCUGCGGGUCUACAAGGGUAGGUAAGAACAGAAAGGAAGGAAGGAGUCAAACAAGAAGAGGAACUGAAAAGCUUGAAGGAGAUGGUACAAGGCUGCUUCAACAGGUGCACUAAAAAUAGAUUGGAAAAGAUGGACUAAGUGCCAGGAACAUAGCAUCAAUCCCAGCCAGCAUAAGAAUUCUUGAAAGGUAGUAGUGAAAAGAAACUGUUCCAUAGCUUCCAAGAGUCUAUGAAUAGGGUAUCUUCAGAAGGAAGUAAUCAAUUAAAUGCACAUGGUAUUAAAUUCUCCUUUCAAAGUAAAGAAUUUUAUCUGCAGUUCAAACCAUUUUUAAUCUAUCCAGAAUUAAGUUGUAUCACUGUACCCUUAAAAGGUACAACAACAGAAUAUCACAUAAUAUUUAAAAAAAAAAUCAGCUCCAUGUAGGCUGAUUUCAGCUCUGUUUUUUUUGACCACUCCAAGGAGCAGUGAACAUGCCAUGCCUGUGGAGGGAGAGCCAUUGAAAAGCAAGAAGAAUGAUAACAAGCAGAAGAUAGUUCUCUACUGGUGCCUUCCUUUUACCAAUAUGCUUACUUAGUUCCGAUACUGCUUCAAGAUUCAGUAGCAUUUUCUUUGGACUGCACAUGGUACAAUUAGCAGUUACUUGAGCUAGCUACAGGAGCAGGCAGCAGAGAUUCAGAUUCUUUUUCUUUGAAGAACUGUUCCAUCAUAGGGCCAGUAAAUAUACUGGAAAUUUUUAUUUAAAUACACGUAUUCCAAUAGCAUUAGGGUAUGCCAGGAUGCAAGUUACUAGACUUACUGAGAAGCCACUCAAGUGACUGAAAUUACCAUACAUUUUAAUGUAGUUUAUUGCUACCACAAAGUAAACAACACGGCAGCCCCACGUUGGUCACUAAUCCUUUCCUUACAGUUAAAGACUACUGAAAAACAAAGAUUUAGUUUGCAAUUAAAAGACUACAGUGUAUUGAGGGUCUUGGGAAAACUGUAGGUUUUAGUCCAGAGAGCCAAUACUUUCUGGGUUCCAACGGGUGCUUGAACACAAGCGACUUCAGAUGGUGCACUAUAAUAGUGUUCUAAGAGCUGAUGAUGAACACAAAACCAGGGGUAGUCAGAGCUACGGUGGAUUUGAACAGGGAUUGUCUUAAAGAUUUUUUAUCAUAUAGCACAAUAAAGAAACAUUUAAAUAAAUCACUCUUAUCACAAGAAAUAUAUUAAGGUUUCGGUGCCUGGGGAGCAUGGAUCAACUCCACCACAUUUACUGGCUACACUUCAGUUCUCAGUCUGCGAAGUGCAGUAAUGCUAACACAAAGCUGGCUGAAUUUAGGGGCAUGUAAUUACCAGCCUGUAGAAACUCAUUCAUCAACAUCUGCAAGUUCCUGUGUGCCGUUGUAUCUGCAUCAUCUUUGUAUUUUUGAAAACAUUCUUCAGUAUUAUUUGUAAUGAAUUGCUGUGUUACCUUGCACACGUAUGCAUAAUAUGCAACACUAAUUGUAUUCAUGACAUGGAACAUUUUCUUUGCCUGACUGACUGAAAGCAAGAACCCUGACUUACAGGAUUACUCAGUUAAAAAAUAAUUGUGAUGUUUAGCUCAUUAUGGAGCACGUGUAAGAGCUGCAGUGCAUCCAUUCUGGAACUUCAGGGUUCCUAUAGAAUCCUGCGUGAUUUGUUUAUGAUGUGGUGAUGAUUGACUGUCAGUUACUAAUAAAUGGUAAAUAAAA
Long non-coding RNA from Gallus gallus (chicken), 2442 nucleotides. Lineage: Eukaryota; Metazoa; Chordata; Aves; Galliformes; Phasianidae. The record is from Ensembl.